GGGGAUGCGUUCCAUUAGGUUGUUGGCGGGGUAACGGCCCACCAAGCCUUCGAUGGAUAGGGGUUCUGAGAGGAAGGUCCCCCACAUUGGAAUUGAGACACGGUCCAAACUCCUACGGGAGGCAGCAGUGAGGAAUAUUGGUCAAUGGACGAGAGUCUGAACCAGCCAAGUAGCGUGAAGGAUGACUGCCCUAUGGGUUGUAAACUUCUUUUAUACGGGAAUAAAGUGAGGCACGUGUGCCUUUUUGUAUGUACCGUAUGAAUAAGGAUCGGCUAACUCCGUGCCAGCAGCCGCGGUAAUACGGAGGAUCCGAGCGUUAUCCGGAUUUAUUGGGUUUAAAGGGAGCGUAGGCGGACGCUUAAGUCAGUUGUGAAAGUUUGCGGCUCAACCGUAAAAUUGCAGUUGAUACUGGGUGUCUUGAGUACAGUAGAGGCAGGCGGAAUUCGUGGUGUAGCGGUGAAAUGCUUAGAUAUCACGAAGAACUCCGAUUGCGAAGGCAGCUUGCUGGACUGUAACUGACGCUGAUGCUCGAAAGUGUGGCUAUCAAA
Molecule: ribosomal RNA, 548 nt
Filed under: uncultured bacterium
Lineage: Bacteria
Description: bacterial SSU rRNA
Rfam family: Bacterial small subunit ribosomal RNA
Source: RNAcentral